CCUACGGGAGGCAGCAGUGAGGAAUAUUGGUCAAUGGGCGCUAGCCUGAACCAGCCAAGUAGCGUGCAGGAUGACUGCCCUAUGGGUUGUAAACUUCUUUUAUACGGGAAUAAAGUGCAGCACGUAUACUGCUUUGUAUGUACCUCAUGAAUAAGGAUCGGCUAAUUCCGUGCCAGCAGCCGCGGUAAUACGGAGGAUCCGAGCGUUAUCCGGAUUUAUUGGGUUUAAAGGGAGCGUAGGCGGGUUGUUAAGUCUGUUGUGAAAGUUUGCGGCUCAACCGUGAAAUUGCGGUUGGUACUGGCUUCCUUGAGUGCAGUGAAGGUAGGCGGAAUUCGUGGUGUAGCGGUGAAAUGCUUAGAUAUCACGAAGAACUCCGAUUGCGAAGGCAGCCUACUGGAGUGUUACUGACGCUGAUGCUCGAAGGUGUGAGUAUCGAACAGGAUUAGAUACCCUGGUAGUC
RNAcentral lists this ribosomal RNA (460 nucleotides) under uncultured bacterium. RNAcentral's name for it is "partial 16S ribosomal RNA". It matches the Rfam family "Bacterial small subunit ribosomal RNA", at positions 338 to 795 of the family's 1533-position model. The record is from RNAcentral.